GUUGGAGUGACUGCGGGAGCGGUGGAGGGGGGAAUGAAGGAGCGUGGGAGGGAUAUCUUGCAGGCUAAGCUUGGUACAGCCCUAGCAUGUGAGGCAUAUAGUCGGAGUAUUACUGUAAAAUGGGAUGGGGUUAAAUGCGUUAGACAGCUGGAGAGGGGUGUGCAGCCGAAUGUGGUGGAGUCUGUGGAAGUUUUGGAGCGGGCAGAGCGAGAGGCUUUGAUUAGUGACGGGUUGGCUUGGGAACCAUCUACAGCUUGGAGGUGUCUGCUUGAUAGAAGGAUGGAUGAUUGAUGCGGAGGAUUGUGUAGUGGAGUUGCGAAGUUCUGGCUUGGAAAGGUUUGGACCUGUGUUGUGAAG
This 357-nucleotide long non-coding RNA is filed under the name Androctonus crassicauda. The record is from RNAcentral. Lineage: Eukaryota; Metazoa; Arthropoda; Arachnida; Scorpiones; Buthidae.